CCGGACCUUACUGCUAUCGGGAUAAGACUAAGCCAUGCGAGUUGUGCGCUCUCAAGCUAUGUUGAGAGAGCAGCAAACGGCUCAGUAACACGUAGUUAACCUACCCUCAGGACAGGGAUACCCCCGGGAAACUGGGGAUAAUAUCUGAUAGGCGGAAGCGCCUGGAAUGGUCUUCCACUGAAAGGGUGUUAAAAACAUGCUUUUAGCACUGCCUGAGGAUGGGACUGCGGCCGAUCAGGUUGUUGGUGGGGUAACGGCCUACCAAGCCUAUAACCGGUACGGGCCCUGAGAGGGGGAGCCCGGAGAUGGGAACUGAGAAACGGUCCCAGGUCCUACGGGACGCAGCAGGCGCGAAACCUCCACAAUGCACGAAAGUGCGAUGGGGUUAUCCCGAGUGCUUUCCGAUGAGGAUGGCUUUUCCUCGGUGUAAAAAGGCGAGGGAAUAAAGGGGGGGCAAGACUGGUGUCAGCCGCCGCGGUAAUACCAGCUCCCUGAGUGGUAGGGAUGAUUAUUUGGCCUAAAACGUUCGUAGCCGGCUUGGCAAGUCUUCCGUUAAAUCCAGCGACUCAAUCGUUGGUCUGCGGAAGAUACUACUAGGCUGGAGGACGGGAGAGGUUGACGGUAUUCCCAGUGUAGGGGUGAAAUCCAAUAAUCCUGGGAGGACCACCAGUGGCGAAGGCGGUCAACGAGAACGUGCCUGACGGUGAUGGACGAAAGCUGGGGGAGCGAACCGGAUUAGACACCCGGGUAGUCCCAGCCGUAAACGAUGCGGGCUAGGUGUUAGGGCAGCUACGAGCUGCUCUAGUGCCGCAGAGAAGUCGUUAAGCCCGCUGCCUGGGGAGUACGAUCGCAAGAUUGAAACUUAAAGAAUUGGCGGGGGAGCAC
Molecule: ribosomal RNA, 885 nt
Filed under: uncultured archaeon
Lineage: Archaea
Description: bacterial SSU rRNA
Rfam family: Archaeal small subunit ribosomal RNA
Source: RNAcentral